GUGACCUCAAAUCAGGAAGGACUACCCGCUGAACUUAAGCAUAUCAAUAAGCGGAGGAAAAGAAACUAACAAGGAUUCCCAUAGUAACUGCGAGUGAAGCGGGAAAAGCUCAAAUUUAAAAUCUGGCAGCCUUUGGUU
RNAcentral lists this ribosomal RNA (138 nucleotides) under uncultured Cortinarius. RNAcentral describes it as "partial 28S ribosomal RNA". It matches the Rfam family "Eukaryotic large subunit ribosomal RNA", at positions 1 to 136 of the family's 3401-position model. Lineage: Eukaryota; Fungi; Basidiomycota; Agaricomycetes; Agaricales; Cortinariaceae. The record is from RNAcentral.